RNAcentral lists this non-coding RNA (31 nucleotides) under Mus musculus (house mouse). The record is from RNAcentral. Lineage: Eukaryota; Metazoa; Chordata; Mammalia; Rodentia; Muridae.
UUCCAAAGCCUGCCCUAGCAUCUGCAUCACC